AGAGCGAACGCUGGCGGCAUGCUUAACACAUGCAAGUCGCACGGGCAUUUCGGUGUCAGUGGCGGACGGGUGAGUAUCGCGUAGGGAUUUAUCGUUGGGUGGGGGAUAACCCUGGGAAACUGGGGCUAAUACCGCAUGACGCCUGUGGGCCAAAGCAGCAAUGCGCCUGAUGAGGAGCCUGCGUUCGAUUAGCUUGUUGGUGGGGUUAUGGCCUACCAAGGCGACGAUCGAUAGCUGGUCUGAGAGGAUGAUCAGCCACACUGGGACUGAGACACGGCCCAGACUCCUACGGAGGCAGCAGUGGGGAAUAUUGGACAAUGGGCGCAAGCCUGAUCCAGCAAUGCCGCGUGGAUGAAGAAGGUUUUCGGAUUGUAAAGUCCUUUCGGCGGGGACGAUGAUGACGGUACCCGCAGAAGAAGCCCCGGCUAACUUCGUGCCAGCAGCCGCGGUAA
RNAcentral lists this ribosomal RNA (452 nucleotides) under uncultured bacterium. RNAcentral describes it as "SSU rRNA". It matches the Rfam family "Bacterial small subunit ribosomal RNA", at positions 26 to 523 of the family's 1533-position model. The record is from RNAcentral.